Molecule: small nuclear RNA, 103 nt
Organism: Suricata suricatta (meerkat)
Lineage: Eukaryota; Metazoa; Chordata; Mammalia; Carnivora; Herpestidae
Source: Ensembl
UCGCUCUUGCAGUGUGUAUACUAAAAUGGGAACAAUGCGGAGAAUAUGAACACGGCCUCUGCACAAGGAUGACAUGACCAUUUGUGAAUCGUGGCAUUUUUUU